AAACCGAUGGAAAACUAGGAAAUGCGUCCUAUAUAUGGGCACCUGGGACGUGUGGAGUAAGUGGUGCAACCGGCCUAAUUAAUG
This 84-nucleotide non-coding RNA is filed under the name Ornithinibacillus halophilus. RNAcentral's name for it is "c-di-GMP-II sequence". It matches the Rfam family "Cyclic di-GMP-II riboswitch aptamer". Lineage: Bacteria; Bacillati; Bacillota; Bacilli; Caryophanales; Bacillaceae. The record is from Rfam by way of RNAcentral.